UGGUGGAUGCCUUGGCACUAAGAGCCGAUGAAAGACGUGAUAAGCUGCGAAAAGCUUCGGGGAGGAGCAAAUAUCCUUUGAUCCGGAGAUUUCUGAAUGGGGAAACCUACUUGAGCAAACCUCAAGUAUCCUUAAGCCAAUACAUAACUUAAGGAAGGGAACCCGGUGAACUGAAACAUCUAAGUAGCCGGAGGAAGAGAAAACAACAUGUGAUUCUGUGAGUAGCGGCGAGCGAAAACGGAAGAGCCCAAACCAGUGUGCGUGCAUGCUGGGGUUCGGACCGCGGAAUUGAUUCAACAAGUUUAGCAGAACGGUUUUGGGAAAGCCGGCCAGAGAGGGUGAAAGCCCCGUAAGCGAAAGACGAGUUGACAUGGCGGGAUCCAGAGUACCACGAGACACGUGGAACCUUGUGGGAAUAUGCGGGGACCACCCCGUAAGGCUAAAUACUACUUAGUGACCGAUAGUGCAUAGUACUGUGAAGGAAAGGUGAAAAGGACCCCGGGAGGGGAGUGAAAAAGAACCUGAAACCAUAUGUUUACAAGCUGUGGAAGAGCUUUAUAUGCUCAACCGCGUACUUUUUGUAGAACGGUCCGGCGAGUUACGCUGGCUGGCGAGGUUAAGUCCUUAAGGGAUGGAGCCGAAGGGAAACCAAGUCUGAAUAGGGCGAAGAGUCAGUCGGAGUAGACCCGAAACCGGGUGAUCUAUCCAUGUCCAGGUUGAAGUUGCCGUAAAAGGCAAUGGAGGACCGAACCCACAUCCGUUGAAAAGGGUGGGGAUGAGGUGUGGAUAGGGGAGAAAUUCCAAUCGAACCCGGAGAUAGCUGGUUCUCCUCGAAAUAGCUUUAGGGCUAGCCUCAUAUAAGUCUUGCGGAGGUAGAGCACUGAAUUUCCUAGGGGGCGUCAAAGCUUACCGAAGAAUAUCAAACUCCGAAUGCCGCGUAGAUGGUGUAUGGGAGUCAGACUGCACGAGAUAAGUUGGGUAGUCAAAAGGGAAAGAGCCCAGACCUGCAGCUAAGGUCCCAAAAUGUGUGUUAAGUGGAAAAGGAUGUGGGAUUUCAAAGACAACCAGGAUGUUGGCUUAGAAGCAGCCAUACAUUAAAAGAGUGCGUAAUAGCUCACUGGUCGAGAGGUCCUGCGCCGAAAAUGUCCGGGGCUGAAACACACUACCGAAGCUCAGGAAUUAACGUAGUUAAUUGGUAGAGGAGCAUUCUUAAAGGGAAGAAGCAGUACCGGAAGGAGCUGUGGACUUUUAAGAAGAGAGAAUGCCGGAAUGAGUAGCGAGAGGAAGGUGAGAAUCCUUCCGGCCGAAUACCCAAGGUUUCCAGAGUAAAGCUGAUCUGCUCUGGGUAAGUCGGGGCCUAAGGUGAGGUCGAAAGACGUAGCCGAUGGACAACAGGUUGAAAUUCCUGUACUGCAGUAUAACAGAACUGUGGGGACGCAGAGGGAGAGCACUAGCGGGAAUGGAAUCCCGUGGCAAGCGAGGUAGGAGUAGAGUUGGCAAAUCCGCUCUAUAAUCCGAAGACGUGAUGCAUACCGAACUGAAGUAGGGAAAUGUGUGAGCCAGCUGCCAAGAAAAGCCGCUAUUGUUUGUACUGUACCCGUACCGUAAACCGACACAGGUAGGUGAGGAGAGAAUCCUAAGGCCGACGGGAGAAGCAUUGUUAAGGAACUCGGCAAAAUGACCCCGUAACUUCGGGAGAAGGGGUGCCUCGAAAGAGGCCGCAGAGAAUUGGCCCAAGCAACUGUUUAGCAAAAACACAGGUCUAUGCAAAACCGUAAGGUGAAGUAUAUGGGCUGACGCCUGCCCGGUGCUGGAAGGUUAAGGGGAGAGGUUAGCGCAAGCGAAGCUUUGAACUUAAGCCCCAGUAAACGGCGGCCGUAACAAUAACGGUCCUAAGGUAGCGAAAUUCCUUGUCGGGUAAGUUCCGACCCGCACGAA
Molecule: ribosomal RNA, 1938 nt
Filed under: human gut metagenome
Description: bacterial LSU rRNA
Rfam family: Bacterial large subunit ribosomal RNA
Source: RNAcentral